RNAcentral lists this ribosomal RNA (253 nucleotides) under uncultured bacterium. Its description in RNAcentral is "partial 16S ribosomal RNA". It matches the Rfam family "Bacterial small subunit ribosomal RNA", at positions 524 to 776 of the family's 1533-position model. The record is from RNAcentral.
UACAGAGGGGGCAAGCGUUGUUCGGAAUUACUGGGCGUAAAGGGCGCGUAGGCGGCCCGCUAAGUCGAACGUGAAAUCCCCGGGCUCAACCCGGGAACUGCGUCCGAUACUGGUGGGCUCGAAUCCGGGAGAGGGAUGCGGAAUUCCAGGUGUAGCGGUGAAAUGCGUAGAUAUCUGGAGGAACACCGGUGGCGAAGGCGGCAUCCUGGACCGGUAUUGACGCUGAGGCACGAAAGCGUGGGGAGCAAACAGG